CCUGGUGGAGAGGUAAAAUCCGUAGAUAUCAGGAGGAACACCCGUGGCGUAGGCGGCUUCCGAACCUAUUCCUGACACUCAGGGACGAAAGCUAGGGGAGCAAACAGGAUCAGAUACCCUGGUAGUCCUAGCUGUAAACGAUGAAUACUAGAUAGUGGGUGCUACACCGUACUCACCGUCGUAGCUAACGCGUUAAGUAUUUCGCCUGGGAACUACGAUCGCAAGUUUGAAACUCAAAGGAAUUGACGGGUCCCCGCACAAGCAGCGAGGCAUGUGGCUUAAUUCGAUGCAACACGAAGAACCUUACCUGGACCUGACAUGUUUCUGAAAGGCCGGAGAAACCCGGUCCCUUCCAGUUUACUGGAACAGUUUCACAGGUGGUGCAUGGUUGUCGUCAGCUCGUGUCGUGAGAUGUAAGGUUAAGUCCUUAAACGAGCGUAACCUUUGUCAUUAGUUGCCACCGGUUCGGCCGAGCACUCUAAUGAGACCGCUAGCGACAAGCUAGAGGAAGAUGGAGAUGACGUCAAAUCCUCACGUCCCUUAUGUCCAGGGCCGCACACAUGCGACAAUGGUAGAGACAGCGGGUUGCGACGGGGUAACCCUGAGCUAAUCCAUAAACUCUGCCUCAGUACAGAUCGAGGGCUGAAAUUCGACCUCGUGAAGAUGGAGUUGCUAGUAAACGCAGGUCAGCUAUACUGCGUUGAAUACGUUCCCGGGGAUUGUACACACCGCCCGUCACACCACCCGAGUCGUGUGCACCCGAAGU
Molecule: ribosomal RNA, 766 nt
Filed under: uncultured organism
Description: bacterial SSU rRNA
Rfam family: Bacterial small subunit ribosomal RNA
Source: RNAcentral